UACGUAGGGGGGCUAGCGUUGUCCGGAUUUAUUGGGCGUAAAGAGCGUGUAGGCGGCCAUGUAGGUCCGGUGUGAAAACUCGAGGCUUAACCUCGAGAUGUCAUCGGAAACCAUUUGGCUAGAGUCCGGAAGAGGAGAGUGGAAUUCCUGGUGUAGCGGUGAAAUGCGCAGAUAUCAGGAAGAACACCAAUGGCGAAAGCAGCUCUCUGGGACGGUACUGACGCUGAGACGCGAAAGCGUGGGGAGCGAACAG
RNAcentral lists this ribosomal RNA (253 nucleotides) under uncultured bacterium. RNAcentral describes it as "partial 16S ribosomal RNA". It matches the Rfam family "Bacterial small subunit ribosomal RNA", at positions 524 to 775 of the family's 1533-position model. The record is from RNAcentral.